RNAcentral lists this ribosomal RNA (376 nucleotides) under Serratia marcescens. RNAcentral's name for it is "bacterial SSU rRNA". It matches the Rfam family "Bacterial small subunit ribosomal RNA", at positions 283 to 647 of the family's 1533-position model. Lineage: Bacteria; Pseudomonadati; Pseudomonadota; Gammaproteobacteria; Enterobacterales; Yersiniaceae. The record is from RNAcentral.
CUAGCUGGUCUGAGAGGAUGACCAGCCACACUGGAACUGAGACACGGUCCAGACUCCUACGGGAGGCAGCAGUGGGGAAUAUUGCACAAUGGGCGCAAGCCUGAUGCAGCCAUGCCGCGUGUGUGAAGAAGGCCUUCGGGUUGUAAAGCACUUUCAGCGAGGAGGAAGGUGGUGAACUUAAUACGUUCAUCAAUUGACGUUACUCGCAGAAGAAGCACCGGCUAACUCCGUGCCAGCGGCCGCGGUAAUACGGAGCGUGCAAGCGUUAAUCGGAAUUACUGGGCGUAAAGCGCACGCAGGCGGUUUGUUAAGUCAGAUGUGAAAUCCCCCGGGGCUCAACCCUGGGGAACUGCAUUUGAAACUGGCAAGCUAGAGU